ACAUUUGCCUCCAAGCAAGCUGGAAGAAAAAAAAUGGAACAUCUUUUUCAGUCUUUGGACCUCAAAAUAUAUAAUUCAGGCUGUACAAAGAGCAUGGCACCAGCAUGUGCUUCUGGUGAGGGCCUCAGGAAGCUUCCGCUCAUGAUGGACAGUGAAGGGGGGACAGGCAUACAUGGUGAGAGGAAGGAAGCCAGAGGAAGAGAGAGAGGUGCCAGACUCUUUUCAACAACAAAUCUCAACAACUCACUCCCCACGAGAAUGGCACCAAGCCAUUCAUGAGGUAGCUGCCCCAACAACGCAACACCUCUCCCACCAGGCUCACCUCCAACACUGGGGAUCAAAUUUCAACAAGAUACUUAAUGGUGCAAACUGCAUCCAAAUCAUAGCACACAUUAAAUGAACUACCUACUUCUCUGUCACUUACUUACCUCUGAGUUGCUGAAUAUCAAAAUAUUCCAGAUCUAGAUAGAUACAGCUCUAGACAGAUCCAGAUAAUUUUUCUGUAAGCCAGAAAAAUUGGGCUCACCAUUUUCUCAAGUCUCAAAAAUGAGACUACCUACUGUAGAAACAUAUGGCUUUGAUAUACGAGGAGCC
This 594-nucleotide long non-coding RNA is filed under the name Pongo abelii (Sumatran orangutan). Its description in RNAcentral is "lincRNA". Lineage: Eukaryota; Metazoa; Chordata; Mammalia; Primates; Hominidae. The record is from RNAcentral.